GUGGGGAAUAUUGGACAAUGGGCGAAAGCCUGAUCCAGCCAUGCCGCGUGUGUGAAGAAGGUCUUCGGAUUGUAAAGCACUUUAAGUUGGGAGGAAGGGCAGUAAGUUAAUACCUUGCUGUUUUGACGUUACCGACAGAAUAAGCACCGGCUAACUUCGUGCCAGCAGCCGCGGUAAUACGAAGGGUGCAAGCGUUAAUCGGAAUUACUGGGCGUAAAGCGCGCGUAGGUGGUUUUGUAAGUUGGAGGUGAAAUCCCCGGGCUCAACCUGGGAACUGCCUCCAAAACUGCAUGACUAGAGUACGGUAGAGGGUAGUGGAAUUUCCUGUGUAGCGGUGAAAUGCGUAGAUAUAGGAAGGAACACCAGUGGCGAAGGCGACUACCUGGACUGAUACUGACACUGAGGUGUGAAAGCGUGGGGAGCAAACAGGAUUAGAAACCCGGGUAGUCC
This 450-nucleotide ribosomal RNA is filed under the name uncultured bacterium. RNAcentral describes it as "partial 16S ribosomal RNA". It matches the Rfam family "Bacterial small subunit ribosomal RNA", at positions 354 to 796 of the family's 1533-position model. The record is from RNAcentral.